UUGUUGCUCAAAAUUUGUAUUUCCCCAAUUCAAUUCUGAGUAGUUUUGAGUUGCCAAUAUACAUAAACGAACUAAAUGUCGAUUAUUCAUGCUCUGUAUAAAAAGUUUGCUGUUGUUGGAAAGCUUUGGGCGGGGAUGUCAAAGCAAAACAAUUUUUUAGACACGCAAAGUGUGUCACGAUGAUUUCAAUUUUUCAUCUUUUUUACGUCGAAAUCAUCAUUAAUAGCUUACAAAAGGAAUAUUGUCCACACCGUUGUUUCCCAUAUAAUCGACCUUUACCGCACCCGGAAGAGGCCAUCGAGUGUGUUCAAAGCUUGAAAAAUGGACAGUUGCGCGAUGGCUCGGUGAAGUUGAUAGAGUGCAUCGGGAGGUCCGAGUUUUUAUUUAUAUUCCGGACCGCAGCCGUACGUUCAAUUUUCUUUCAAAAAUUUACCUCACAAUGAGCGCAGAAAGUCUCCGAAUAGGAAGAAGGGAACCAAAAGAGAUGUGCUUCUCAUCUAAUCGGAGCAGCCAUCACUAAAGCACUUGGGAACGGAUCCCGCAGAAAAUCCCUUACAGCGACGGAAACCAUCAUCAUGGGAGACAGUUUUCAGGAGGGACUAAAACAAAACAUAUCAACUGGCAUGAUGAAACAGGUGGCUACAUCGAACGGAUGCAAAUCCGUACCGGAAGCUGGAGACUGACGAGCUCCAGAACAGGACCGAGUCGUCUUAGAAAAAAGCCCUGAAAGAUGAUUAUCUUCGGCAACGAUCGGCCCCAAGGAACUGCAACUGACAACCAAAGAAAAGGAAGCCUUUUAAUAUCGCCCGUCACUAGCAGACACCGCCGCAAAGUUAUUGAUUUGUGAUUAAAUCGUUCCAACUAUUACCUUGAACGUUGAAUAAAAAUAAUGAAUAAAAAGUUAAAUGUUGAUAAGAUUUUUUUUUUUAAUAAAUUCCUUCCAACUCUACUUUUGCAGCGAAAUUUCCAAAAUGCAUGGGCAUCCCCACGUCAAAAUAUACAGAAUUG
This is a long non-coding RNA of Uranotaenia lowii, 1008 nucleotides long. RefSeq lists it as uncharacterized. The record is from RefSeq and is a predicted model, not a curated record. NCBI's taxonomy places the organism in Eukaryota, Metazoa, Arthropoda, Insecta, Diptera, Culicidae. The transcript is spliced from 4 exons.